ACAAUGGUGUUUCAGUGGUAGAAUUCUCGCCUUCCACACAGGAGACCAGGGUUCGAUUCCCAGCCAAUGCA
RNAcentral lists this transfer RNA (71 nucleotides) under Loxodonta africana (African savanna elephant). It matches the Rfam family "tRNA". Rfam says of the family: Transfer RNA (tRNA) molecules are approximately 80 nucleotides in length. Their secondary structure includes four short double-helical elements and three loops (D, anti-codon, and T loops). The record is from Rfam by way of RNAcentral. Lineage: Eukaryota; Metazoa; Chordata; Mammalia; Proboscidea; Elephantidae.